CCAUUGAUAGCUUGCUAUCAAUGGUGUAGAGUGGCGCACGGGUGCGUAACGCGUGAGCAACCUACCUCCAUCAGGGGGAUAGCCUCUCGAAAGAGAGAUUAACACCGCAUAACAUCAACAGUUCGCAUGUUCAGUUGAUUAAAUAUUUAUAGGAUGGAGAUGGGCUCGCGUGACAUUAGCUAGUUGGUAGGGUAACGGCUUACCAAGGCGACGAUGUCUAGGGGCUCUGAGAGGAGAAUCCCCCACACUGGUACUGAGACACGGACCAGACUCCUACGGGAGGCAGCAGUAAGGAAUAUUGGUCAAUGGGCGGAAGCCUGAACCAGCCAUGCCGCGUGCAGGACGACUGCCCUAUGGGUUGUAAACUGCUUUUGUCCGGGAAUAAACCUCUUUACGUGUAGAGAGCUGAAUGUACCGGAAGAAUAAGGAUCGGCUAACUCCGUGCCAGCAGCCGCGGUAAUACGGAGGAUCCGAGCGUUAUCCGGAUUUAUUGGGUUUAAAGGGUGCGUAGGCGGCCUGUUAAGUCAGGGGUGAAAUACGGUGGCUCAACCAUCGCAGUGCCUUUGAUACUGAUGGGCUUGAAUCCAUAUGAAAUGGGCGGAAUAAGACCAAG
This 613-nucleotide ribosomal RNA is filed under the name Sphingobacterium sp. WM-GM03. RNAcentral describes it as "bacterial SSU rRNA". It matches the Rfam family "Bacterial small subunit ribosomal RNA", at positions 69 to 678 of the family's 1533-position model. Lineage: Bacteria; Pseudomonadati; Bacteroidota; Sphingobacteriia; Sphingobacteriales; Sphingobacteriaceae. The record is from RNAcentral.